RNAcentral lists this ribosomal RNA (561 nucleotides) under uncultured fungus. RNAcentral describes it as "eukaryotic LSU rRNA". The stretch from base 199 to 352 matches the Rfam family "5.8S ribosomal RNA". Lineage: Eukaryota; Fungi. The record is from RNAcentral.
GUCUCCGUAGGUGAACCUGCGGAGGGAUCAUUACACAAAUAUGAAGGCGGGCUGGAACCUCUCGGGGUUACAGCCUUGCUGAAUUAUUCACCCUUGUCUUUUGCGUACUUCUUGUUUCCUUGGUGGGUUCGCCCACCACAAGGACAAACAUAAACCUUUUGUAAUUGCAAUCAGCGUCAGUAACAAAUUAAUAAUUACAACUUUCAACAACGGAUCUCUUGGUUCUGGCAUCGAUGAAGAACGCAGCGAAAUGCGAUAAGUAGUGUGAAUUGCAGAAUUCAGUGAAUCAUCGAAUCUUUGAACGCACAUUGCGCCCUUUGGUAUUCCAAAGGGCAUGCCUGUUCGAGCGUCAUUUGUACCCUCAAGCUUUGCUUGGUGUUGGGCGUCUUGUCUCUAGCUUUGCUGGAGACUCGCCUUAAAGUAAUUGGCAGCCGGCCUACUGGUUUCGGAGCGCAGCACAAGUCGCACUCUCUAUCAGCAAAGGUCUAGCAUCCAUUAAGCCUUUUUUUCAACUUUUGACCUCGGAUCAGGUAGGGAUACCCGCUGAACUUAAGCAUAUCA